RNAcentral lists this ribosomal RNA (361 nucleotides) under uncultured bacterium. RNAcentral's name for it is "bacterial SSU rRNA". It matches the Rfam family "Bacterial small subunit ribosomal RNA", at positions 28 to 386 of the family's 1533-position model. The record is from RNAcentral.
GAUGAACGCUAGCGGCAGGCUUAACACAUGCAAGUCGAGGGGUAACAGGAAAGCUUGCUUUCGCUGACGACCGGCGCACGGGUGCGUAACACGUAUGCAACUUACCUCUAACUAGGGAAUAGCCCCGAGAAAUCGGGAUUAAUGUCCUAUAAUAUGUCGAAUUCGCAUGAAUUUGAUCUUAAAGCUCAGGCGGUUAGAGAUGGGCAUGCGGCCCAUUAGCUAGUUGGUGAGGUAACGGCUCACCAAGGCUACGAUGGGUAGGGGGCCUGAGAGGGUGAUCCCCCACACUGGUACUGAGACACGGACCAGACUCCUACGGGAGGCAGCAGUGAGGAAUAUUGGGCAAUGGACGCAAGUCUGA